This 1032-nucleotide ribosomal RNA is filed under the name Triticum aestivum (bread wheat). RNAcentral's name for it is "partial small subunit ribosomal RNA". Lineage: Eukaryota; Viridiplantae; Streptophyta; Magnoliopsida; Poales; Poaceae. The record is from RNAcentral.
AUGGUUAAUCAUAAGUUCAAUUUCUGCUGUUGGAAUGUUCACGGCCUUGGGCAAACCCAAAAAUGCUCGAACAUUCUCUCUGAGCUCUUGGCCAUUAAUCCACAUGCUUUUUUUUUGCAAGAAGCCAAACGAGACUCUAUCUCUAUUCUAAAGCAGCGUUCCUUCCUCCCUAAGCACCUGAAUCUAACAAACCCUCGACCGGCCUUUGGGUCUGCAGGUGGCAUGCUCUCGGCCUUCUCCUCGUCUCAGUUUACUCUGACUGCCAUGGACUCCGGACUCUACACCCAAACCACCCUGGUCUCCUGUCUAGCCUCCCCCACCCUUGCCUUUACCAAUGUUUAUGCUCCGACCGACCAUGUGCUCAAGCAAGAUUUUUUGUCAGAGCUUGCUACCUUUGCCCCCUCUCCUCCCAUGCCCUGGCUAAUCUUGGGUGAUUUCAAUCUCCUGAGACUUCCCUUGGACAAAAACACGAGUAACUUCAGGCAGACCGAAGCAGACAUGUUCAAUUCCUUUAUUAACCAGAGUGCACCAAUUGAGCUUCCCCUUCUAGAUAGAUGCUUCACUUGGUCAAGCAAAAGGGAUCAACCCACUCUCGAAAAAAUUGACAGAGUGUUCAUCAAUGUGGAUUGGGAUCUCCUAUUUCUAAACACCACCAUUUCCUCGCUCACUAGAUUUGUCUCUGACCAUGUUCCCCUGCUGAUCACUAUCGACGUCGUCAUCCCUCGUCCCGCGCUUUUUUGUUUUGAACUUAGGUGGACCACUAGGCCGACUUGUCAUACGGUAAUUCAAAACGCCUGGGCCGCGGCCCGCACUUGUUCAAACCACUCGCUUUCCCUUGUGGCUGCUCUCAAGCGUACUUGCGCUGACUUAAAAAUUUGGCGGCGCUCCGCUCUGCCUCUAAACACUUGGGAGAGGAACUGCAAGACUGUCAUUUCCGUACUCGACCUCAUCAAAGGCUCUCGAUUCCUCUCGCAUACUAAAUUAGUUCUCUGCCAUGUGAUUAUUAAAGUUCUCCAAUGCACACUUCGUUAG